Molecule: unclassified non-coding RNA, 580 nt
Filed under: Hevea brasiliensis (rubber tree)
Lineage: Eukaryota; Viridiplantae; Streptophyta; Magnoliopsida; Malpighiales; Euphorbiaceae
Source: RNAcentral
CAUCGGAUAAAACUAUGAUAAAUCCAUCAUAAUUAAAAAAAGUCCAAUUUUCUCACAUAGUCAAAUGAAUAUAAACAUCUAAAACUGGAUUACUCAAAAACAAGGGGGAUAGAGCCCAUUUUCAGUCCUCAUAAGUACGGCAUUCGUCUGUCUCCGGGUUGUCCUUGCAGUAAUUCUCCAAAGGGUCAGACUGCUUCUUCUUGUCCAUCGUAUGGCUAGCAGCUGCACUCAGCUCCUCCACUUCGUCCCAAGCCGCUACGCAUUCCCCGCUCGCUGGGUCGCCGGCGCAGGCCUCCUCCGCGCUUUUGAUGCUUUCUUCCACCUUCUCCGAUAUGCUAUCGGUGGCUGCUCUCACUUUUUGGAUUUGCACGCGUCCAUACCCCAAUUGGUAUGCCCUCUUCCAUGGGUAGUUUAACUUGAAGAUGGGUUUAGCCUUUGGUGCUUCUGUGGCCUUGGCUAAGACUCUGGGAGUUGAGAUGUUAAGACCAGCUAAUGUUGACAUUUUAGUCUGCUACUUUGCUUUCUGUAGUAUCUGCUAUGUUAUGGUCUAGCAAUGGGCACUUGUUAAUGUCGAUGGACG